Molecule: ribosomal RNA, 465 nt
Filed under: uncultured bacterium
Lineage: Bacteria
Description: partial 16S ribosomal RNA
Rfam family: Bacterial small subunit ribosomal RNA
Source: RNAcentral
GACGAACGCUGGCGGCGUGCUUAACACAUGCAAGUCGAACGGAAAGGCCCUGCUUGCAGGGUACUCGCGUGGCGAACGGGUGAGUGACACGCGGGUGUACUGCCCUGCACUUCGGGAUAAGCCUGGGAAACUGGGUCUAUUACCGGAUAGGAGCCAUUUUUAGUGUGAUGGGUGGAUAGUUUUUUCGGUGUAGGAUGAGCUCGCGGCCUAUCAGCUUGUUGGUGGGGUAAUGGGCUACCAAGGCGGCGACGGGUAGCCGGCCUGCGAGGGUGGACGGCCACAUUGGGACUGAGAUACGGCCCAGACUCCUACGGGGAGCAGCAGGGGGGAAUAUUGCACAAUGGGGGCAAGCCUGAUGCAGCGACGCCGCGGGGGGGAUGACGGGCUUCGGGUUGUAAACUCCUUUCGCUAGGUACGAAGCUGUUUGUGACGGUACCUAGAUAAGAAGCACCGGCUAACUACGUG